GACGAACGCUGGCGGCGUGCCUAAUACAUGCAAGUCGAGCGGACGAAUCGAAAGCUUGCUUUUGAUUCGUUAGCGGCGGACGGGUGAGUAACACGUGGGCAACCUGCCCUGUAGACGGGGAUAACACCGAGAAAUCGGUGCUAAUACCGGAUAACACGAAAUGUCGCAUGACGUUUCGUUGAAAGACGGCGCAAGCUGUCGCUACAGGAUGGGCCCGCGGCGCAUUAGCUAGUUGGUGAGGUAACGGCUCACCAAGGCGACGAUGCGUAGCCGACCUGAGAGGGUGAUCGGCCACACUGGGACUGAGACACGGCCCAGACUCCUACGGGAGGCAGCAGUAGGGAAUCUUCCGCAAUGGACGAAAGUCUGACGGAGCAGCGCCGCGUGAGCGAAGAAGGCCUUCGGGUCGUAAAGCUCUGUUGUUAGGGAAGAACAAGUAACGCAGUAACUGGCGUUACCGUGACGGUACCUAACGAGAAAGCCACGGCUAACUACGUG
Molecule: ribosomal RNA, 498 nt
Filed under: uncultured bacterium
Lineage: Bacteria
Description: partial 16S ribosomal RNA
Rfam family: Bacterial small subunit ribosomal RNA
Source: RNAcentral